This 1371-nucleotide ribosomal RNA is filed under the name uncultured bacterium. RNAcentral's name for it is "bacterial SSU rRNA". It matches the Rfam family "Bacterial small subunit ribosomal RNA", at positions 28 to 1381 of the family's 1533-position model. The record is from RNAcentral.
GAUAAACGCUGGCGGCGUGCCUAAUACAUGCAAGUCGAGCGAACGGACGAGAAGCUUGCUUCUCUGAUGUUAGCGGCGGACGGGUGAGUAACACGUGGAUAACCUACCUAUAAGACUGGGAUAACUUCGGGAAACCGGAGCUAAUACCGGAUAAUAUUUUGAACCGCAUGGUUCAAAAGUGAAAGACGGUCUUGCUGUCACUUAUAGAUGGAUCCGCGCUGCAUUAGCUAGUUGGUAAGGUAACGGCUUACCAAGGCAACGAUGCAUAGCCGACCUGAGAGGGUGAUCGGCCACACUGGAACUGAGACACGGUCCAGACUCCUACGGGAGGCAGCAGUAGGGAAUCUUCCGCAAUGGGCGAAAGCCUGACGGAGCAACGCCGCGUGAGUGAUGAAGGUCUUCGGAUCGUAAAACUCUGUUAUUAGGGAAGAACAUAUGUGUAAGUAACUGUGCACAUCUUGACGGUACCUAAUCAGAAAGCCACGGCUAACUACGUGCCAGCAGCCGCGGUAAUACGUAGGUGGCAAGCGUUAUCCGGAAUUAUUGGGCGUNAAGCGCGCGUAGGCGGUUUUUUAGUCUGAUGUGAAAGCCCACGGCUCAACCGUGGAGGGUCAUUGGAAACUGGAAAACUUGAGUGCAGAAGAGGAAAGUGGAAUUCCAUGUGUAGCGGUGAAAUGCGCAGAGAUAUGGAGGAACACCAGUGGCGAAGGCGACUUUCUGGUCUGUAACUGACGCUGAUGUGCGAAAGCGUGGGGAUCAAACAGGAUUAGAUACCCUGGUAGUCCACGCCGUAAACGAUGAGUGCUAAGUGUUAGGGGGUUUCCGCCCCUUAGUGCUGCAGCUAACGCAUUAAGCACUCCGCCUGGGGAGUACGACCGCAAGGUUGAAACUCAAAGGAAUUGACGGGGACCCGCACAAGCGGUGGAGCAUGUGGUUUAAUUCGAAGCAACGCGAAGAACCUUACCAAAUCUUGACAUCCUUUGACAACUCUAGAGAUAGAGCCUUCCCCUUCGGGGGACAAAGUGACAGGUGGUGCAUGGUUGUCGUCAGCUCGUGUCGUGAGAUGUUGGGUUAAGUCCCGCAACGAGCGCAACCCUUAAGCUUAGUUGCCAUCAUUAAGUUGGGCACUCUAAGUUGACUGCCGGUGACAAACCGGAGGAAGGUGGGGAUGACGUCAAAUCAUCAUGCCCCUUAUGAUUUGGGCUACACACGUGCUACAAUGGACAAUACAAAGGGCAGCGAAACCGCGAGGUCAAGCAAAUCCCAUAAAGUUGUUCUCAGUUCGGAUUGUAGUCUGCAACUCGACUACAUGAAGCUGGAAUCGCUAGUAAUCGUAGAUCAGCAUGCUACGGUGAAUACGUUCCCGGGUCU